This 485-nucleotide long non-coding RNA is filed under the name Vitis vinifera (wine grape). RNAcentral describes it as "long non-coding RNA (VVIN_LNC002815)". The record is from RNAcentral. Lineage: Eukaryota; Viridiplantae; Streptophyta; Magnoliopsida; Vitales; Vitaceae.
CAAGUUGAUUUCUUACAUAGAUAUUGAUUAAACAUUGAAGGAAGAACAUCCACUAAAUAGAAAGUCUUGAUUUCAUAUGGUGACAAUUAUGGCAAGAAUGAUUCUUACUGAAUGUUGUUUCAAGUGAAGACAUUGGAGGAGAAGCAUCCCCUUCCAGCCCAGCAACUGGGGUGUUGGACAUCUUCUCAUUAGGUAUCUUCCAGGGCCUACCAGAAAGGGAAAAAUAGAAGGAACAAAUGAAAAUUCCAAAAAAUCACUUCACUGAUAAUGCAAAUUUGAUUCCAAAGUGCUUUGGCAUAGCGUAAUAUCUCAAUAAAACAUCAAGUGCACUACUAAGAAUCUUGGAAAACAAUACCAUCCAUUAAACUACCAAUCAGUUGAUACAAUCCAAUAUUGUCUUACAUGACUUUCAGUGGAGCCAACAACCAAAAUUAAUGAUCCAUAUUACCUGUGGGAAAGUUGAGAUCCUAGCAAGUUCCUGGGAA